Molecule: non-coding RNA, 198 nt
Organism: Caenorhabditis elegans
Lineage: Eukaryota; Metazoa; Nematoda; Chromadorea; Rhabditida; Rhabditidae
Source: Ensembl
GAUUCAGCAUCACACUCCCAUCCAAACUCCAGAGACGUCUAAAGUUUAUUUGGAAUCUCUCACCGGGGUGGCUGUUUGCCAAGCAUCUCAAAUUGUGUCUCCAUUCGAUUUUUCCGAUGAUGAAAAUCCGCCAAACGCUCAACGCCGGCAUUGAGCCCCUUCUGGAUGAACCGGAAAGCCCGCCGAAAACACAGAGCA